UGAGUAACACGUAUCCAACCUGCCGUCUACUCUUGGCCAGCCUUCUGAGAGGAAGAUUAAUCCAGGAUGGCAUCAUGAGUUCACAUGUCCGCAUGAUUAAAGGUAUUUUCCGGUAGACGAUGGGGAUGCGUUCCAUUAGAUAGUAGGCGGGGUAACGGCCCACCUAGUCAACGAUGGAUAGGGGUUCUGAGAGGAAGGUCCCCCACAUUGGAACUGAGACACGGUCCAA
Molecule: ribosomal RNA, 229 nt
Filed under: uncultured bacterium
Lineage: Bacteria
Description: partial 16S ribosomal RNA
Rfam family: Bacterial small subunit ribosomal RNA
Source: RNAcentral